This 292-nucleotide ribosomal RNA is filed under the name uncultured bacterium. RNAcentral's name for it is "partial 16S ribosomal RNA". It matches the Rfam family "Bacterial small subunit ribosomal RNA", at positions 505 to 796 of the family's 1533-position model. The record is from RNAcentral.
GUGCCAGCAGCCGCGGUAAUACAGAGGUGGCAAGCGUUGUUCGGAAUUACUGGGCGUAAAGGGCGCGUAGGCGGCCUUGUAAGUCCCGUGUGAAAGCCCCCGGCUCAACUGGGGAAUUGCACGGGAAACUGCGGGGCUUGAGUUCGGGAGAGGGAAGCGGAAUUCCGGGUGUAGCGGUGAAAUGCGUAGAUAUCCGGAGGAACACCAGUGGCGAAGGCGGCUUCCUGGACCGACACUGACGCUGAGGCGCGAAAGCUAGGGGAGCAAACGGGAUUAGAUACCCUUGUAGUCC